RNAcentral lists this ribosomal RNA (203 nucleotides) under uncultured bacterium. Its description in RNAcentral is "partial 16S ribosomal RNA". It matches the Rfam family "Bacterial small subunit ribosomal RNA", at positions 1285 to 1500 of the family's 1533-position model. The record is from RNAcentral.
GUCCCAGUUCGGAUUGCAGGCUGCAACCCGCCCUGCAUGAAGCUGGAAUCGCUAGUAAUCGCGGAUCAGAAUGCCGCGGUGAAUACGUUCCCGGGUCUUGUACACACCGCCCGUCACACCAUGAGAGUUGAGAAUACCCGAAGCCCAUGUCAAAGUGGUCGAAGGUAGGCUUGAUGAUUGGGGUGAAGUCGUAACAAGGUAAC